GUUCUGUUUACAACGCGGCUUUCUGACCAGUGUGUAAUAUAUGCGCGCGUGAAAGUGGUUGUCGUAUUCGUAGUUGAAGUUGUCGUCAUAAUGUCAUAAAGGGAAAGAAAAAAGACAGACGUGUUUAGUAAUGACCUAAUACUAAGUCGGUAUUAAAUUUGAACGAACAGGGACUGUCUAACGAUACCGAACACCAAGCUAUUCGAUAUUGCAAACUGGCAAUGACUCUCGUGUUCGAUUAAUCGUAUACAACAUUACUUACGUGACAAAAAUUAAAAAAAAGAAGAAAAAAAUGAACUAAUAAUGAAAUAAAAAUAUAAAAAUAAUAAUAAAAAAAAGUGGUUUUUUCAGUGGUAUUAAUGAAUCUGAAGGAGUAUACUAAGGAAUGUCGCAUAGUGGAAAAAUUGUUCUGCGUGAUGGGGAAAUCAACUAUUAUCUCAAGGGAUUGAAAUCUUCGACGCAAACUAUAAUCGCCAUAAUUUGCAUGUAAUAUUAAAACGUUCAUGCUAAUUACAUAUCAUGUAUAAUAAAAAUCCAUAGAAAACAUUAAGUUCAUCGAACUUGCGAAUCACAGAAGCUAACGUUCUCUUUUUUCCAAGUGUAAGAAUUGUUCGCCUUUAGAAUUACGAUUUUUCAUCGGUAUCGAUACGAUGCAGUAUAAUGGAACGAAAUUAAUUUGCAAACAAUCGCAAUUUUCACCGCGCUAAAAGCACUUUCUCCCUUUCUGUCGUAACUGUUUCUCAAGCUUCUCCGACAUUUUUAUUUUUUACGAAUAUAUUCAUUUUACGAAAUUCAGCAUCAUUUUUCAAUCUUUUUGUGAAAGUGCCAACAAUCAAAGGUUUCAACGAUAUACACACCGUUUGAAUUUCGACGCUUAUAAAUCAAACUCUACCCUUUGAAUGCAUUGAUGUUUUAACGUAUACAAAUAUCAAUUAACGAUCGGACGAACGAGAGAAUUGUUUUCCAAGCGUCCAAUCGAGCGUAACAAUGAACAGUAUAUUAAAAUCGUAUGCACGCAGCUAAUUUCUCAUUCUACCGGCUCAUUAUGUCCGGCAAUGCGAGACCAGUAUGAAUGAAACAUAAGGCCCGAUGUUUAUCAUCCUCCGACGAAGUUCAACCCCGCUAGCUAUGAAUAUUCAUCGAGGACGCGAGCUUCGGCCAUGAUAAUAAUAAUAAAAUCUCGAUGAAAUAAGGAACGAGGCGAAAAAUAAGUUCACGAUGGUCGAAGAAACGACGCCCUGGAGGGGGAUCGCCCACGAUCUAUCCUUAUACCGCGAAUUAUAUCAUUGAACGAUUAACAUAAUUCCGUCAUCCGUCCUCUCGAUGCAGAGACAAUUACACACGAGGAAUUGUCGUGAGAAAUUUGCAUGAUACCUUGAAAAGAUACUUGUAUAACAACAUAUAUAUAUUUCAAG
Molecule: long non-coding RNA, 1415 nt
Organism: Apis cerana (Asiatic honeybee)
Lineage: Eukaryota; Metazoa; Arthropoda; Insecta; Hymenoptera; Apidae
Source: RefSeq, a predicted model, not a curated record